UACGUAGGGGGGCAAGCGUUGUCCGGAAUCAUUGGGCGUAAAGAGCGUGUAGGCGGCCCGAUAAGUCCGCUGUGAAAGUCCAGGGCUCAACCCUGGGAUGCCGGUGGAUACUGUCGGGCUCGAGUCCGGAAGAGGAGUGUGGAAUUCCUGGUGUAGCGGUGAAAUGCGCAGAUAUCAGGAGGAACACCAAUGGCGAAGGCAGCACUCUGGGACGUGACUGACGCUGAGACGCGAAAGCGUGGGGAGCGAACAGG
RNAcentral lists this ribosomal RNA (254 nucleotides) under uncultured bacterium. RNAcentral's name for it is "partial 16S ribosomal RNA". It matches the Rfam family "Bacterial small subunit ribosomal RNA", at positions 524 to 776 of the family's 1533-position model. The record is from RNAcentral.